Long non-coding RNA from Myxocyprinus asiaticus (Chinese sucker), 1367 nucleotides. RefSeq lists it as uncharacterized. NCBI's taxonomy places the organism in Eukaryota, Metazoa, Chordata, Actinopteri, Cypriniformes, Catostomidae. The record is from RefSeq and is a predicted model, not a curated record. The transcript is spliced from 4 exons.
UCUAAUUACCAAUGAUUUAAAUUGUUACUGUAGUGGAAUACAGUUACUUAUAUCUUGUAUUUUAAAUGCGUAAUCCCGUUACAUGUAUUCCGUUACUCCCCAACUGUGCGACUGGUUCACAAAUCGUAUGCCCAAAGCAGAGCGUUUUAGCCGAAACAGCUCGUGAGUCUGAGCUCCACCCCGUUAAGCUAACUUUCUACAGAAUCCCUCAACAUUUCAAGUGAAUAGGCAUCUAAAGUCAGAUUAUCAGAUUAAUCAGCCAAUCAGAUUGAUUUAUUAGUUCUAGGUGGGUGUGGUCUUUAGGAUAUGUCCCAGAGGCCUUCUAGCUGGUCUUGAGUGACGCAAUCACGCUUUAAGUGAUGUACAUAAUUUGAAAGCGAAGAGCACAGGAUCUAGAUGACGAGUCGGCUGUCAUCACUGCCGCUAUCGCCAUUGAGAAAGAAAUCCUUAUGGAUUUAAAAACCCGAGAUGUAAACAGGAAAGGAGGGCUGAUUUUCACUUCAAGUAAAUUGGUAAGUGCUUUUUGUAUUGUUAUAGCAACAUCAGGAGUUUUCUAAGCGUAAAUUAGACUGGCUGGAGCAUUCAUUGUCAGUUUAAGUUUUGAAAAGUAACUGUGUACCCUUAUGAAACAAAAAUUAUUGCAUGCAACAUUUAGAUCGCAAAUAUUAUUAGAUAGCUUUUUCCUGGUAUUAGACCUUCUUGGUUUUGGCUUUCAUGCAUGGACGUGUUUUAAAAAUGUAAAUGAGAUGGUUGGUGGAGUUCAGGGCACCCACUUGUCCAGUCUUAUGGAUUACUUUUAUGCCGACUUUGUCUACUUUUUAUAGAGCUGAAAUGUUCUUCUAAAAAUCUUCAUUUGUGUUCAGCAGAAGAAAGAAAGUGAUUCACAUCUGGGAUGGCAUGAGGGGAGCACAGUUUCUCUGGCAGUAACAAACAUCAUGGAAUACACAUGGAAAGAGCCACCUACCCUCUGGUCUGUACUGGGCAAUGAUGGUCACUGUCUGUCCAGCCCUUUUCAGUGCAGCAGCAGCUUGCUCAUGUGUGGCAUUGCAGGAAUGAAAUGGCAGAAGAGGUUGGAUGUGUUGGAUAAAUAUAAAAAAGACUAAACUGUGUAUUGCACAUAGUUAUUGCUCAAUGGGGCAAUUUAACUGUUCAUGAGAUGGAUAGCCUGAGGGAAAAAACUGUUCCUGUGCCAGAGCUCUGAAGCGUCGGCCAGAAGGCAACAGUUCAAAAAGUGUCUGGUAUAGGUACUGACCGAUAGGAUGCGGUCUCCUCUCCUCAGCUCGCCGCUCAGGUCGGCUGGCCCACCUGCCAAGAUGAAAGAUACGAAGAUGCCCUCUCCAUCCUCCCCACCUACAAUGUUGAAACCC